Molecule: ribosomal RNA, 254 nt
Filed under: uncultured bacterium
Lineage: Bacteria
Description: partial 16S ribosomal RNA
Rfam family: Bacterial small subunit ribosomal RNA
Source: RNAcentral
UACGUAGGGGGCGAGCGUUGUCCGGAUUUAUUGGGCGUAAAGAGCUCGUAGGCGGUUCGAUAAGUCGGACGUGAAAUCUCCACGCUCAACGUGGAGGGGCCGUUCGAUACUGUCGUGACUCGAGUCCGGUAGGGGAGUGUGGAAUUCCCGGUGUAGCGGUGAAAUGCGCAGAGAUCGGGAGGAACACCAAUUGCGAAGGCAGCUCGCUGGGACGUAACUGACGCUGAGACGCGAAAGCGUGGGGAGCAAACAGG